Molecule: microRNA, 23 nt
Filed under: Capitella teleta
Lineage: Eukaryota; Metazoa; Annelida; Polychaeta; Capitellidae
Description: Cte-Mir-210-P6_5p* (star (passenger))
Source: RNAcentral
AGUUGCUGCUUCAUGCACAAGCA